RNAcentral lists this non-coding RNA (91 nucleotides) under chicken gut metagenome. RNAcentral's name for it is "Glycine riboswitch". It matches the Rfam family "Glycine riboswitch aptamer", at positions 7 to 88 of the family's 94-position model. Rfam says of the family: This family represents the bacterial glycine riboswitch. Glycine riboswitches usually consist of two metabolite-binding aptamers domains with similar structures in tandem. The record is from RNAcentral.
CGGCACUCUGGAGACGUCCAUCCGUGCGGAUGGAGGCCGAAGGGGCAAAGCGCGUUUUCGCGCGAAUCUCUCAGGCAAAAGGACAGAGCGG